RNAcentral lists this ribosomal RNA (253 nucleotides) under uncultured bacterium. Its description in RNAcentral is "partial 16S ribosomal RNA". It matches the Rfam family "Bacterial small subunit ribosomal RNA", at positions 524 to 776 of the family's 1533-position model. The record is from RNAcentral.
UACGAAGGGGGCUAGCGUUGCUCGGAAUCACUGGGCGUAAAGGGUGCGUAGGCGGGUCUUUAAGUCAGGGGUGAAAUCCUGGAGCUCAACUCCAGAACUGCCUUUGAUACUGAAGAUCUUGAGUUCGGGAGAGGUGAGUGGAACUGCGAGUGUAGAGGUGAAAUUCGUAGAUAUUCGCAAGAACACCAGUGGCGAAGUCGGCUCACUGGCCCGGUACUGACGCUGAGGUGCGAAAGCGUGGGGAGCAAACAGG